AUGGCAAUGAGAUCGGCACUGAGUCGAGGAAUCGCGACUCGUUCAAUGGACUCAACAUCUCGUGGAGCUUUCACUCGCUUCUUCAGCAACAAAGGUAAGGUUCUCAGCGAGGAAGAACAGGCCAAAGAAAACGUCUACAUCCAGAAAUGGGAGAGGGAGAGGUUGGAGAAACAGAAGCAAGCGGCUGAGAAGGCUAAGGCGGAGAGAGCCAAAGAGAGUGCUGAUGACAAGAAAUCUGAUGGGACUCAAAAGAGCUGA
Molecule: non-coding RNA, 258 nt
Organism: Vicia faba (fava bean)
Lineage: Eukaryota; Viridiplantae; Streptophyta; Magnoliopsida; Fabales; Fabaceae
Source: the annotation of a GenBank genome assembly